GAGCAUUUUGUCGAUCAUUUUUGUGUUUUUUCGUUGUCAAUGUCACUUCUCAUACACUCUUCCUUCAUCGUUUCUAUUUCAAGUUUCCAUAUUUUCCUCUGUAUCACAAGCAUCAAUGGAGUCCGUCAAUUUUGCUUCUCGGAUUUUUCGCUGCCGGCGUGGAACCUGUUGGGCUCAGAGACACCCCUUACCACAAACCUGACGAUUUAAGGCAUAUUUUAGACACACUGGAGCCACACUCCAGGCCCAAAUCCCGCCAACGUGACGUUCCUUUAUGCUUCCGACAACGUAAGUGUUUCCCACAUUCAAACUUUUUUUGUUUUUCUUUUCUUUUGUUAAUCAUAAUAUAUCUAAACCAGAUAACAAGAUGUUGGACAUGAGUUUUAUAAAUUAGCCUUUCAUUUUUUUGAAAUGUUGUAUUUUGCGAAGACACGUUUAAAAACCGGAUAACAAGGGAAAUAUACAUGAAUUUAAAAAAAUAGCCGUCUAACUCAUAUUUUCAUGUAUUUUAUGUUAUAGGUACGUGUUACUCCUAUUAUUCCUUAAAACAUAGACUUUGAUGAACUACGUGAUUCAUUCAGUCAGAUGCAAGAUGUCAUGAAGAAGCACAUUUCAUAUAAUUCGUCUCAGUUGCUCGCCUUCCAGCUCAUUACAAGAAGAUUAUCGAUUCAGUUGAUGUAUCAUUAUAACCGGAUAACUAUAUCAAAAAAUGUAUGUGGCCGGAUAACGAUAAUCGAGAAACCAUAUGUAGCCGAAUAACUAUAAUCAAAAAAGUAAAUAAUUUUCUAUUUGAUAUAUGAUUAUAGCCGGAUAAUUGUAUGUUUAUAGAUAUAUCUGACCAUUAACUUAAAUAACC
Molecule: long non-coding RNA, 856 nt
Filed under: Brassica napus (rape)
Lineage: Eukaryota; Viridiplantae; Streptophyta; Magnoliopsida; Brassicales; Brassicaceae
Description: long non-coding RNA (BNAP_LNC022975)
Source: RNAcentral